GAUGAAGAACGCAGCGAAAUGCGAUACUUGGUGUGAAUUGCAGAAUCCCGUGAACCAUCGAGUCUUUGAACGCAAGUUGCGCCCGAAGCCACUAGGCCGAGGGCACGCCUGCCUGGGCGUCACACGCCGUUGCCCCCCCAUCUACUCCUUCGGGAUUGCGGGGGGGCGGAUGAUGGCCUCCCGUGCGCCUAGCCGCGCGGUUGGCAUAAAUACCAAGUCCUCGGCGACGCACGCCACGACAAUCGGUGGUUGCGAAACCUCGGUUGCCCGUCGUGUGCGUUCGUCGCGCAUCGAGGGCUCGAAAAAAUGCUCGGCUCCGGCUGGGCUUUCAACGCGACCCCAGGUCAGGCGGGGUUACCCGCUGAAUUUAAGCAUUCCAAUAAGCGGAGGA
RNAcentral lists this unclassified non-coding RNA (391 nucleotides) under soil metagenome. RNAcentral's name for it is "partial contains 5.8S ribosomal RNA, internal transcribed spacer 2, and large subunit ribosomal RNA". The stretch from base 1 to 122 matches the Rfam family "5.8S ribosomal RNA", at positions 35 to 154 of the family's 154-position model. The record is from RNAcentral.